This 1220-nucleotide long non-coding RNA is filed under the name Mus musculus (house mouse). RNAcentral describes it as "long non-coding RNA chr7:90042696-90043916". The record is from RNAcentral. Lineage: Eukaryota; Metazoa; Chordata; Mammalia; Rodentia; Muridae.
GGUUAGAUCUUUACGAGAUUCUAGCAGCAGGGACCAUAAGACCUUAGGGAAUCACUUAGCACUACCCUUUAGUACACAGAUGGAGAAAUGGAGGCAGCUCAGCGGAAAGGCCAGCAACUGCCCCCAAAGGUGGAACUCUAAAUUCUAGGUCCUCAUUUGUUUAUACUAUCUUAUGAUAAAAUAUUCAUUAUUCAGACCCAGCACACUGAGGCCAGGCAUGGAAGUGACCUCUUAGGAUCUCAACACUUGGCAGGUGGAGUCAGGAAGAUCAGGAAAUCAAGCCAACCUUGCCCACAUAUUAAGUUCAAGGCCAGCCUCUGCUACAAGGGACCCUAUCUUAAGAAACAGAACAGAAUAAAACAAAGAACUCAAACAACAGGAAACAUCCCGCACAUGUGGGCACUUACCAAAUUUCAUUAUUGAAUACCAGUGUGGAGAUGCCGGUAAAAGGCUUUCUGCACACACAGUGUCAUCCAUGCAUUAGUUAUCAUGUCCCAUAAGGGAGGUACCAGAUGGUAGAGGGUAUGGACAUUAUGCUGGGAUGUGGGUUCUGUUUUGUAGGCAAUGCUAAGCCAUCCCAGGUUUCAGACAAGAGGUCUGACAUGGUCCACUUUAAAGAGCUCUUUCUGGUAGCAGAGAGAAGGGUAGACUGAAAGCUGUUGGAUUGGAUACCUGAAGAUGUGCAAGUUUUCAGAGUAGUCCUGGCAACACAGGGCGGUGGUCAUGUCAAAAAUGUAUUGUUUAAACAAAUUGCUUUAUUAUAUUGUGUGUGCAUAUAUGAUGUGUGAGAGUGAGGCACAUUUAUGUGGCGGUCAGGAACAACUUCUGGAAACUGAUUUCUCCUUCGUUUUGAGCUCUGGAGCAGAACUCGAGGCACAAUUCUCAGAGAUAAGCAAUUUUUCCUGCUGAGCCAUCCUGACAGACCAGGCAAUUUCUUAAUUGCCACAGCCUUUGAACCUUUGGUAGUUUACUCAAGGUUACAGACGCAGCGAGUCCUCAGGAUCUGUAAGCAGAAGGAGAAGUGGAGUUGAGGACAGCAGUAGGCUGGGCCUUUGGACAGACCAAGGACAACUUCUUAGGAUGUUGGACUCCUGCCUACGAUCCCAGAGUAAUCGAGCUGGCUUCACUUGCGAUAAAACAUGGAUUCCAUGGUCACUGUCCUGGGAGGAACACAUUCUGCUAAGAGCAACUAAAAGUCUCGAAUAAACACUGAAAAUUUG